CCCAGGCAACAGAGUGAGACUCUGUCUCCAAAAAACAAACAAAUAAAAACAAACAAAAAGAACAUCUAAGAAAACCUACCAGCAAAGUCUGGAAUUAUACAUAAUAGUGAAAGACAACAUUUUUUCUCUGAGAUCAGGAAUAAGGCAAGAAUGUCUGCUCUCAGUAAGUGAACAUAUUACUGAAAGUUUCAGCCAACAGAAUAAGGCAAGAGAAGGAAAUAAAAGUCAUAUAGAUUGAAAAGGAAAAAAUAAAGCUGUCCCUAUUUGUAGAUAUGGCCUAUUUGUAGACAACAUGAUGGUUUAUGUAGGGAAUCUCAAGGAAUCUACAAAAAAUUCUGUAGUAAGUGAGUUCAACAAGGUCUCAAGAUACAAGAUCAACACAUAAAAGUCCCUCGUAAUUCUACAGGAAAGCAAUGAACAUGUGGAAACCAAAAUGUAAAAAAUACAAUACCAUUUAUAAUCUCUCAAACAUGAAAUACCUAGGUAUAAACCCAAUAAAACAUGCAUAUGACUUACAUGCUAAAAACUAUAAAACACUGAUGAAAGAAAUUAAAGAAGAUCUAAAUAAAUGGAGCGAUAUAACAUAUUCAUGGAUUGGGAGAUUCAACAUAGUACAGAUAUCAAUUCUCCUCAAAUUGAUAUUCGGGUAUAACACAAUUCCUAUCAAAAUCCAAGACUUGUUCUUUCCGCUAUCUUUCCGUGCUGCCAUAAUGGUGCGCAUGAAUGUCCUGGCUGAUGCUCUUAAGAGCAUCAACAAUGCCGAAAAGAGAGGCAAAUGCCAGGUUCUUAUAAGGCCGUGCUCCAAAGUCAUUGUCCGGUUUCUAACUAUGAUGAUGAAGCAUGGUUACAUUGGCAAAUUUGAAAUCAUUGAUGAUCACAGAGCUGGGAAAAUUGUUGUGAACCUCACAGGCAUGUUAAACAAGUGUGGAGUGAUCAGCCCGAGAUUUGAUGUGCAACUCAAAGAUCUAGAAAAAUGGCAGAAUAAUCUGCUCCCAUCCUGCCAGUUUGGUUUUAUUGUAUUGACAACUUCAGCUGGCAUCAUGGACCAUGAAGAAGCAAGAAGAAAACACAUAGGAGGGAAAAUUCUGGGAUUCUUUUUCUAGGGAUGUAAUACAUACUUACAAAUAAAUUGCCUCA
Non-coding RNA from Microcebus murinus (gray mouse lemur), 1137 nucleotides. NCBI's taxonomy places the organism in Eukaryota, Metazoa, Chordata, Mammalia, Primates, Cheirogaleidae. The record is from RefSeq and is a predicted model, not a curated record.